AUACGUAAGUUGCGAGCGUUAUUCGGAAUUACUUGGGUGUAAAGGAAGCGCAGGCGGGAGAUCAAGUCAGCGGUGAAAUGUAUGGGCUUAACCCAUGAACUGCCGUUGAAACUGAUUUUCUUGAGUGAGGUAGAGGUCAGCGGAAUUUCCAGUGUAGCAGUGAAAUGCGCAGAGAUUGGAAAGAACAUCAGUGGCGAAGGCGGCUGACUGGGCCUUAACUGACGCUGAGGCUUGAAAGUGUGGGUAGCAAACAGGAUUAGAUACCCUGGUAGUCCACACCCUAAACGAUGAAUGCUAGGUGUAGGGGGACUGAACCCUUCUGUGCCGGAGUUAACACAUUAAGCAUUCCACCUGGGGAGUACGAUCGCAAGAUUAAAACUCAAAUGAAUUGACGGGG
This 397-nucleotide ribosomal RNA is filed under the name uncultured bacterium. Its description in RNAcentral is "partial 16S ribosomal RNA". It matches the Rfam family "Bacterial small subunit ribosomal RNA", at positions 523 to 918 of the family's 1533-position model. The record is from RNAcentral.